Long non-coding RNA from Ananas comosus (pineapple), 629 nucleotides. RefSeq lists it as uncharacterized. The record is from RefSeq and is a predicted model, not a curated record. NCBI's taxonomy places the organism in Eukaryota, Viridiplantae, Streptophyta, Magnoliopsida, Poales, Bromeliaceae. The transcript is spliced from 2 exons.
AUUCCUGCGAAGUCAUCCGAAAACUUCCAGGCCAUGCUGAGGUUGUGGCCUCCUCAUAGUGUAAUGCCGUCAGACCUAUUUUGGUUUCAUCAAAUCUUACCGCUGGUCCACUCCCUCUAUCUCUGCUUGCCUUUUGAAUUAUCGAAUGGGGUUGAGGUCGUAGAGAACGUACAAAAGCAGCAUCAAGAGAAGUUGCAUGAGAACACCUUCAGAGGAGCUGCAGCUUUCAGCUGGGAAUUUAAGCAGUCCGUAGCCGUUGAUGAUAAGUUCCCCCCUAGAGUCAAAUUCAACCAUGUAGGAGAGUUUUUAUCAGUGGCUUCACCUGUAUAAAUUUCACUGGUAUGUGGUGUUGAUCUCUCCUUGUUUACUGAUACCUCUUCCAUCUCUUCAUUUUCUCUUUCAAGGCUUGUCAUUCUUCUAGUGUUAAUGAAAGAAGUGGUAUUAGACAUCAUGGAGGAUCGGUUGGGUUACGAUUGCUUUCCUUAAAAAGGAGAACAAGCUAGUGGGUAGUGGGAACAAAUUAUCAUGUGGGAAGCUUGUGAGUGGUCCUUUUUUUUUUUUUAAUAUAAGAGGAAUCAGUAGGUAAAGAACUUUGUCAGUUCAGUUGAUAUCUAAUAUCUUUAGAUGCU